This 109-nucleotide small nuclear RNA is filed under the name Pogona vitticeps (central bearded dragon). Lineage: Eukaryota; Metazoa; Chordata; Lepidosauria; Squamata; Agamidae. The record is from RNAcentral.
GUGCUCACGUCAGCAGCACGUAUACUAAAAUUGGAAUGAUACAGAGAAGAUUAGCAUUCAUCUGGGCCACAGGCAGACAGUAUGGCAGGCAGAGACAAAGCAAAGUACA